RNAcentral lists this ribosomal RNA (443 nucleotides) under uncultured bacterium. RNAcentral's name for it is "partial 16S ribosomal RNA". It matches the Rfam family "Bacterial small subunit ribosomal RNA", at positions 338 to 795 of the family's 1533-position model. The record is from RNAcentral.
CCUACGGGUGGCAGCAGUGGGGAAUAUUGGGCAAUGGGCGCAAGCCUGACCCAGCAACGCCGCGUGAAGGAAGAAGGCCCUCGGGUUGGAAACUUCUUUUAUCAGGGACGAAACAAAUGACGGUACCUGAUGAAUAAGCCACGGCUAACUACGUGCCAGCAGCCGCGGUAAUACGUAGGUGGCAAGCGUUAUCCGGAUUUGCUGGGUUUAAAGGGCGUGUAGGCGGGAGAGCAAGUCAGACGUGAAAUUCCAGGGCUCAACCCUGGCACUGCGUUUGAAACUGUUCUUCUUGAGUGAUGGAGAGGCAGGCGGAAUUCCGGGUGUAGCGGUGAAAUGCGUAGAUAUACCGAGGAACACCAGUGGCGAAGGCGGCCUGCUGGACAUUAACUGACGCUGAGGCGCGAAAGCGUGGGGAGCAAACAGGAUUAGAUACCCCUGUAGUC